RNAcentral lists this ribosomal RNA (465 nucleotides) under Vreelandella stevensii. Its description in RNAcentral is "partial 16S ribosomal RNA". It matches the Rfam family "Bacterial small subunit ribosomal RNA", at positions 338 to 795 of the family's 1533-position model. Lineage: Bacteria; Pseudomonadati; Pseudomonadota; Gammaproteobacteria; Oceanospirillales; Halomonadaceae. The record is from RNAcentral.
CCUACGGGUGGCAGCAGUGGGGAAUAUUGGACAAUGGGCGAAAGCCUGAUCCAGCCAUGCCGCGUGUGUGAAGAAGGCCUUCGGGUUGUAAAGCACUUUCAGUGGGGAAGAAAGCCUUGGGGCUAAUACCCUCGAGGAAGGACAUCACCCACAGAAGAAGCACCGGCUAACUCCGUGCCAGCAGCCGCGGUAAUACGGAGGGUGCGAGCGUUAAUCGGAAUUACUGGGCGUAAAGCGCGCGUAGGCGGUCUGAUAAGCCGGUUGUGAAAGCCCCGGGCUCAACCUGGGAACGGCAUCCGGAACUGUCAGGCUAGAGUGCAGGAGAGGAAGGUAGAAUUCCCGGUGUAGCAGUGAAAUGCGUAGAGAUCGGGAGGAAUACCAGUGGCGAAGGCGGCCUUCUGGACUAACACUGACGCUGAGGUGCGAAAGCGUGGGUAGCAAACAGGAUUAGAUACCCCUGUAGUC